RNAcentral lists this non-coding RNA (30 nucleotides) under Sus scrofa (pig). Lineage: Eukaryota; Metazoa; Chordata; Mammalia; Artiodactyla; Suidae. The record is from RNAcentral.
GGUUGGUCCGAGUGCAGUGGUGUUUACAAC